This 900-nucleotide ribosomal RNA is filed under the name uncultured archaeon. RNAcentral describes it as "bacterial SSU rRNA". It matches the Rfam family "Archaeal small subunit ribosomal RNA", at positions 455 to 1354 of the family's 1478-position model. The record is from RNAcentral.
GUGUCAGCAGCCGCGGUAAAACCAGCACCUCAAGUGGUCAGGAGGUUUAUUGGGCCUAAAGCAUCCGUAGCCUGAUCUAUAAGUUUCCGGUUAAAUCCACAUGCUCAACAUUUGGGCUGCCGGAAAAACUGUAGAUCUAGGGAGUGGGAGAGGUAGACGGUACUCGGUAGGAAGGGGUAAAAUCCUUUGAUCUAUUGAUGACCACCAGUGGCGAAGGCGGUCUACCAGAACACGUUCGACGGUGAGGGAUGAAAGCUGGGGGAGCAAACCGGAUUAGAUACCCGGGUAGUCCCAGCUGUAAACGAUGCAGACUCGGUGAUGCAUUGGCUUGUGGCCAGUGCAGUGCCGCAGGGAAGCCGUUAAGUUUGCCGCCUGGGAAGUACGUACGCAAGUAUGAAACUUAAAGGAAUUGGCGGGGGAGCACCACAAGGGGUGAAGCCUGCGGUUCAAUUGGAGUCAACGCCAGAAAUCUUACCCGGAGAGACAGCAGAAUGAAGGUCAAGCUGAAGACUUUACCAGACAAGCUGAGAGGUAGUGCAUGGCCGUCGCCAGCUCGUGCCGUGAGAUGUCCUGUUAAGUCAGGUAACGAGCGAGACCCUUGCCUCUAGUUGCCACCAUUGCUCUCUGGAGCAGUGGGGCGAAUUAGCGGGACCGCCGCAGUUAAUGUGGAGGAAGGAAAGGGCUACGGCAGGUCAGUAUGCCCCGAAACUCUGGGGCCACACGCGGGCUGCAAUGGUAGCGACAAUGUGUUCCAAACCCUAAAGGGGGAGGUAAUCAUCAAACGCUACCACAGUUAUGACUGAGGGCUGCAACUCGCCCUCACGAAUAUGGAAUCCCUAGUAACUGCGUGUCAUUACCACGCGGUGAAUACGUCCCUGCUCCUUGCACACACCGCCCGUC